UUGUUACGAGACCGAUAGCGAACAAGUACCGUGAGGGAAAGUUGAAAAGAACUUUNAAGAGAGAGUUCAAGAGUACGUGAAACCGUUCAGGGGUAAACCUGUGAAACCCAAAAGAUCGAAUGAGGAGAUUCAUCGUCAGCGUAUUCAGUAUUAAUACAGGCUAUGAUGUGAUAAUAGAAUCCUUGUGGUCACUAGAUUAUACUUGCUUGUUUUAUUUUUGCUGGGNAUGUCGGCGUGCACUUCUCCUCUAGUAGAACGUCGCAACCCGUUGGAUG
This 275-nucleotide ribosomal RNA is filed under the name Glyptapanteles sp. Whitfield24. RNAcentral's name for it is "partial 28S ribosomal RNA". It matches the Rfam family "Eukaryotic large subunit ribosomal RNA", at positions 323 to 597 of the family's 3401-position model. The record is from RNAcentral. Lineage: Eukaryota; Metazoa; Arthropoda; Insecta; Hymenoptera; Braconidae.